AGGAGAAGAGUGUGUGAGAUUAGCCAAGCUGACCGGCCUGGAAACUCAUGCUAAAUUAAGGGUCUCAGGCUGGCCUGGACAUAAAAAGCCUUGUGCAUGCAUGAGAGCAGGCAAGUCAUCCUUGGCUACCAAACACUACUAGCUCACUCUUCUCU
Daucus carota subsp. sativus is the source of this 155-nucleotide non-coding RNA. Lineage: Eukaryota; Viridiplantae; Streptophyta; Magnoliopsida; Apiales; Apiaceae. The record is from Rfam.